UCCAAUCCACCUAGAAAGAUCUGAGGCUGAUGUUCAUGGGAAACAGCAUCCCUGAAGUACUCUGACUACCUUGCUGCUUGCCACACACCUUGUGCACACCGUACCAUCACAAGUGCUUCAUGUGCUUGCAAUCCUGUGCUAGGGAUCGGAUUCAGAGCUUCAUGUAUGCUAAGCAUGUGCUGUACCGAUGAGUGACACUUCCAGCCCCAUAUUAGGACACAGGAAAACACAAAGGGAAGGCACACAGGGUGAAGACAGCCAUCUACAGGCCACGGAGAGGGGCCUCACAAGAACCCAACCCUGCCAACAACGGGAUCUCAGAC
Fukomys damarensis (Damara mole-rat) is the source of this 323-nucleotide long non-coding RNA. RefSeq lists it as uncharacterized. The record is from RefSeq and is a predicted model, not a curated record. The transcript is spliced from 3 exons. NCBI's taxonomy places the organism in Eukaryota, Metazoa, Chordata, Mammalia, Rodentia, Bathyergidae.